AAAAGUUUUGUCCUAGCUUUACAAUCAACUUCAGCCCACAUUACACAUGCAAGCAUCUACAAACCAGUGAGAAAGCCAAUACACCUUGAGCCGAUAUCAGGCACAACAAAAGUUAGCCAACAACAUCUAGCUCAGCCACACCCCCAAGGGUAAACAGCAGUGAUAAACAUUAGUGAAUAAGCACACAAGCUCGAACUAGACACGGCUGAUAAGGGUUGGCCAAUCUCGUGCCAGCCGCCGCGGUUACACGAGAGACCCGAGUUGAUAACCAACGGCGUAAAGUGUGAUACAGGACAAGUCCAAAACAUAAGACUGAAACCCAACUAAACUGUCAUACGUACAAGUAGGCGAUAAACCCAAUAAUACAAAAGUAGUCUUAAUUAAACGACCUUUCAUCAUCACAACCGCUAAGACACAAACUGGGAUUAGAUACCCCACUAUGCCUAGCCACAAACUGAAAAAACUUACAACCAUUUUCCGCCAGAACACUACGAGCUAACGCUUAAAAAUCAAAGGACUUGGCGGUGCCCAAAAUCCACCCAGAGGAGCCUGUUCUAUAAUCGAUAAUCCACGCUAAACCUCACCACUCUUUGCCAAGCAGCCUAUAUACCACCGUCUACAGCCCACCCCAUUGAGGGAAAACAAGUGGGCAAAAUGAGUCAACUAAAAACGUCAGGUCAAGGUGUAGCACAUAGAGUGGAAAGAAAUGGGCUACAUUUUCUUACCAAGAACAAACGAAAAAGCAACUGAAAAAUUCUUAGAAGGCGGAUUUGGCAGUAAAAAGAAACAAUCAUAUUCUUUUUAACACAGCCCUUGGGCGCGCACACACCGCCCGUCACCCUCAUCAACCAGCCACAUUAACUUAAUAAACAAAAUAUCACAACUCAGAAGAGGAAAGUCGUAACAUGGUAAGCGUACUGGAAAGUGCUCUUGGAAU
This 937-nucleotide non-coding RNA is filed under the name Ichthyophiidae sp. KUHE 17333. RNAcentral describes it as "12S rRNA". It matches the Rfam family "Bacterial small subunit ribosomal RNA". Lineage: Eukaryota; Metazoa; Chordata; Amphibia; Gymnophiona; Ichthyophiidae. The record is from RNAcentral.